Molecule: ribosomal RNA, 497 nt
Filed under: uncultured bacterium
Lineage: Bacteria
Description: partial 16S ribosomal RNA
Rfam family: Bacterial small subunit ribosomal RNA
Source: RNAcentral
GAUGAACGCUGGCGGCGUGCCUAAUACAUGCAAGUCGAGCGAACAGAUGAGGAGCUUGCUCCUCUGACGUUAGCGGCGGACGGGUGAGUAACACGUGGAUAACCUACCUAUAAGACUGGGAUAACUUCGGGAAACCGGAGCUAAUACCGGAUAAUAUAUUGAACCGCAUGGUUCAAUAGUGAAAGACGGUUUUGCUGUCACUUAUAGAUGGAUCCGCGGCGCAUUAGCUAGUUGGUAAGGUAACGGCUUACCAAGGCAACGAUGCGUAGCCGACCUGAGAGGGUGAACCGGCACACUGGAACCGAGACACGGUUCAGACUCCUACGGGAGGCAGCAGUGGGGAAUAUUCCAGAAUGGGCGGAAGCCCGAACGAGCCAACCCGCGUGGGUGAAGAAGGUCUUCGGGUUGUAAAACCCUUUUGUUUGGGAAGAACAAAAGGUGAAGUAAACCAUGCCGUUCUGACGGUACCCAAAGAAGAAGCCCCGGCUAACUUCGUG